Micropterus dolomieu (smallmouth bass) is the source of this 514-nucleotide long non-coding RNA. RefSeq lists it as uncharacterized. NCBI's taxonomy places the organism in Eukaryota, Metazoa, Chordata, Actinopteri, Centrarchiformes, Centrarchidae. The record is from RefSeq and is a predicted model, not a curated record. The transcript has 3 exons.
GGUGGGGGGGUCCUCAGCGCAGAGCGGUGUACGAGCGCCGAGCGGGAGCGCGCGUAUAGGAAGGAAGGGAAGGAAGGAGCUGAGGCAGAUCAGUCGCCAGCGGAGCCCAAGACGGCGGAUGAACGGAGCCGAGCGUGUGUGUCGCCCUUGUCGUUUUUUACAGCAGCUGAAAGCAGCGUCCGACAGCCCGAAACCUGCCCGAAAAUGAUGCUCAAACUCGUCCACCUCCUCUGGGUGCUCGUCUGCGGUAGUCAAGCAUGUUGUUGGGUGUAUGUUGAGAAGUGAGUCGUCAUGGCUCGGCACGCACCUGCACAAAGCAGCCGGACGCCUGAGCAGCAGGAGACAUCAGCUGUUCCCACCUCUGCAGGAGCCCCUCCACCCGUCACGCAGGGGACGUACAUCACUGUUUUGUAUGGAGCUUCCAUACAGGACGUCAUGGCAAAGUCAUCCUGCACCUGAGAUAAUUUAUAUUAUAAUGAAAGUUUCACUUUAUAUAACAAAUGUGUAAAUUCUG